CUCAGGCAUUUUUUGCCUUUAAUUUCUUUUUUUUUUUAAAUGCUAAGGAAUUACUAUCUUGCAUCCCUAUCGCACCUUCUAUUCAAGGAUUGCAAAAUGCUGUGCAACUAUGAAUGAAUUAAGCCUCACAUUGUCCCUGGGAGGGAAAAUGAGGCCCCCGAGUUCUAGAUUCCCUGCGGCAAAAAGCUGUCAAUGUCACAGCACAGCAUGAUCAGCCAGGGAAGGUUUCCCUUGGGACAAGAAGCAUGACAGCCAACAAGCUAAACCAGAAGCUCUGGAGGGGUUUGUUGAUGAAAGAUUGUCCCACUUGUAUGUGAUUGUGCAAAGCUGUGAAUGCUAAGAGCUGGUAAGAGGGAAACAGAGCCAAGCAGCAGGAACUGGACUGACUUGAAGAGAAAAAAAUCCAGUCUAGCCAUGAGUGGUA
This is a long non-coding RNA of Mauremys mutica (yellowpond turtle), 424 nucleotides long. RefSeq lists it as uncharacterized. The transcript is spliced from 3 exons. Lineage: Eukaryota; Metazoa; Chordata; Testudines; Geoemydidae. The record is from RefSeq and is a predicted model, not a curated record.